This 253-nucleotide ribosomal RNA is filed under the name uncultured bacterium. Its description in RNAcentral is "partial 16S ribosomal RNA". It matches the Rfam family "Bacterial small subunit ribosomal RNA", at positions 524 to 776 of the family's 1533-position model. The record is from RNAcentral.
UACGUAGGGUGCGAGCGUUGUCCGGAAUUAUUGGGCGUAAAGAGCUUGUAGGCGGUUUGUCGCGUCUGCUGUGAAAAUCCGGGGCUCAACCCCGGACUUGCAGUGGGUACGGGCAGGCUAGAGUGAUGUAGGGGAGACUGGAAUUCCUGGUGUAGCGGUGAAAUGCGCAGAUAUCAGGAGGAACACCGAUGGCGAAGGCAGGUCUCUGGGCAUUAACUGACGCUGAGGAGCGAAAGCAUGGGGAGCGAACAGG